This 217-nucleotide ribosomal RNA is filed under the name uncultured bacterium. RNAcentral's name for it is "partial 16S ribosomal RNA". It matches the Rfam family "Bacterial small subunit ribosomal RNA", at positions 524 to 740 of the family's 1533-position model. The record is from RNAcentral.
UACGUAGGGGGCAAGCGUUGUCCGGAUUUAUUGGGCGUAAAGAGCGUGUAGGCGGUUUACAGGUCCGCUGUGAAAACUCGAGGCUCAACCUCGAGCUGUCGGUGGAAACCGUAAGGCUAGAGUCCGGAAGAGGAGAGUGGAAUUCCUGGUGUAGCGGUGAAAUGCGCAGAUAUCAGGAAGAACACCCGUGGCGAAGGCGGCUCUCUGGGACGGGUAC